CCUACGGGUGGCAGCAGUGAGGAAUAUUGGUCAAUGGACGAGAGUCUGAACCAGCCACGUAGCGUGAAGGAUGACUGCCCUAUGGGUUGUAAACUUCUUUUAUAUGGGAAUAAAACAGAGUAUGCAUACCACCUUGGAUGUACCCUAUGAAUAAGGAUCGGCUAACUCCGUGCCAGCAGCCGCGGUAAUACUGAGGAUCCGUGCGUUAUCCGGAUUUAUUGGGUGUAAGGGGAGCGUAGCUGGGUUGUUAAGUCAGUUGUGAAAGUUUGCGGCUCAACCGUAAAAUUGCAAUGGAUACUGGCAGUCUGGAGUACAGUUGAGGUAGGCGGAAUUCGUGGUGUAGCAGUGAAAUGCUUAGAUAUCGCGAAGAACCCUGAUUGCGAAGGCAGCUUACUAAACUGUGACUGACGUUGAUGCUCGAAAGUGUGGGUAUCAAACAGGAUUAGAUACCCUAGUAGUC
RNAcentral lists this ribosomal RNA (460 nucleotides) under uncultured bacterium. RNAcentral's name for it is "partial 16S ribosomal RNA". It matches the Rfam family "Bacterial small subunit ribosomal RNA", at positions 338 to 795 of the family's 1533-position model. The record is from RNAcentral.